CAUGGUGUCCGCUCUCAUGGAGCUAGCUCAAGGCAACCGCUAUGUAACUGUGGUUAUUCGUUAUGAGGGAUAAAGGAAAAGAAGCUCGUACGUUUAUUCUGCCGUAUAACUAACAAGUUUACAGGUAAUGCUCUGGUACCGUGAAAGCAAAGUUCCAGCAGGUCACAGUCAAUCUCAACAGUUCUGCGCAAACUAACGAUAGGCAAGGAAAGGAGAAAAGUGUGAACGCACACGAUGGCCAACAUUUCCUCCUUUCUCUGUCUGUCGUUUUGUCUGACCUGACAAGACAGGGAGGAGCGGAGACAACACAGCCAGCUGCCUAAGCCUAAAAUACCACGCGCCGUAGCCAGCAGAGACACUUCAGGGACCCGCGUCUUUUCCAAACCCACAGACCACACCGCCUCCCCCAGCUGAAACACGCGCGGCCGCCGCCCCUACGCCACAAGCCAACGUCAACGUCAUCACGCUACAAGGAGACCAAGAAGGAGCGUGCGCACUGGUGUUGUUGCAGGAGCAACUGAGGAGCACAGCUGGGAUGAGGUCUGAAAGGUCUUCAUUUCUACAGCUUCCAGUUGAUGCUGAAGGACACUGAGAGGCAAGGAGUGACUGAUGCACAGGGAAAGCCUCCAGGAGACUUAGUUGUUGAGAGGAUUAGCCUGAGGAUAUCGGCCAUUCCUGAGUUCUGAGCACAAAGACGAGACACAGACCCUUGCUUAAGUCACAGUUGUGUGGUAUCAGACAUCUAAACAGACAAGUGCAUAAGAGUGAUAGGAUGCCAGAGAUGGCUUACUGGAGAAGGUAACCCUCUGACGACUGAAGAGUAACUUGAAGGGACUUUGUUUAUGCAAUUCAGAGAAGGCACGACAGUGUGAAGAUGUUGGGGAGAGGCUAGAGGGAAUGUUGGCCAUUGCCUGCCGGAAUCUUCAAAUCUCUUUUUUCCAACACAGUUAUCUGCAUUUGUUUGAUCAGGAAACAAUGACCCUUUUAAGUUUAUCCCCCCACCGCCAAUUAAAAAAAAAUUCUGUAUUUCAGUGACAAUCAUGAAAAGGUUUCUAUCUAAUUAAAAGAAAGAAGGGCUAAUAACAUAAAGUUGCUGCUAUUAUUAUGCCCAUUUUAUAGAUAUGGGAACUUGGGCACAGGAAAGUGAAAUGACUUAGUCAAGGAUAUAUAUCCUAUAAGUGUGAGAUUUAAACUUAGAAACUCUGGCUCCAUGCACUAAACUAUUAUGCUAUAUACAAUGUCUCAAGGUGGGAAAUAAAAUCAUGGUCCCUUCCACCAAGAAGCUCAUGGCCUGGACCUAGGAAAUGGCAAACAAACAAAUUGUUGCAAUAUAAACCAAUAAGUUCACAUAAAUAUAUGAGCCACGUGGAGUGGUAGUCUAGAGAAGGAAAUAAGGUGAGUUUUUUGAGGAGAAUCAGAAUUUUGCAAUGCUGGGAUGUAAGAAAGAGUAUUUCCUGCCAGAAGGUAGGCAGGAAAGGUUGCCAGGAGGGCAAACAGCCUGGAAUAAUUGUAAAACUGUUCUCAAGACAGACUGAAAAAUAUCUCCCACAAAAAUACCAUAGUUCUUGGACACUUCUUGAACCUUGCAAAAAGAAUAUUGAGGGACACUUGGCUGGCUCAGUUGGGAGAGGAUGUGACUCUUGAUCUUGGAGUCAUGAGUUCGAGCCCCACAUUUGGCAUAGAGAUUGCUUAAAUAAAAAAAAAAUUUAAAUAUGGAAAUGUCCAAAUACCUACAGAAUUAUGUAGCUUUGGGCCUUUAACAAAAAAAUAAGCAUGGCUUUAGUGUAUUGGCUACAAAAUCUGGGAAGAACUCAAUUACGGCAAUAACAUGUUUUUCAGUUCAAAUCUCCUCUUUGACUAUGCCUACCUUGCCUAAGGGUUGAAAAGUAGUGGCCAACUGGCUCACUUCCUACCCAGGCUGUUUUUCUGUCUUGCCUUCUUUUUCCACCCCUUCUCCGUCAAUUGUAAGAACUAUGGUUUCUCAGGAAGUGAGGAACCUGACUUCCUUCACCCUCUUACUUACUGCCUGUUUAAGCCAAAGGGUUAGUUAAUUUCUAAGCAGGAACCAGUGCCUACUAGUAUGAUGAAGACAAGGGAAGCCAGUGGGUGUAACUGAAAAUUAGCAGUAGUUAACUGAAAAUGUAUACAACUGAAAGUCAACUAUAGCAAUCAUGUGUCUGGUGCUAAGUUCAAACCACUCCAUGUAUUUAUCUUGUGUUAUAUCAAAUCGUGUUUUCUUAUUUUUAUUUUCAGUGUUGGAAUGACACUGCUGUUUUUUAGAUUUGUCACCUUUCAGACAGUAGCCAGAAUGAUCUUUCCAAAAUUAAUAUAUUACUAUGCUGGUAAUAAUAGUGCUAUAAAAUGCUUCCUAUGUGCUAGGAAGUUUUCACAUAUGAACUCAAUCCACACAAUAUCCUUCUGAAGUACGGUUAGCAUCAUCAUCCCCAGUUUCCAAAGGAGAAACUGAAGCUUGGAGAGGUUUCGAGCUUCUACCAAGUUACACUGGCAGUCUGGCACCAGAGUCCAUUCUCUUCCCCACUUGUUACUCCAGUGAUUAAACCACUCUUCAGUGGCUGCCCCUACAACAUAAAGAGGACUUGUCUUCUUUAGCAUGCCUACCGGGCUCUCUAUGAUUCUGGGAGUUCCCUGAGGUGCCCUGGAGUGAGGAACAGAAGUGAAAUGUCCUUAUUGUUACCUUUUGAUAAUACGGGUCUGGGCAAUGAACACUGUCAGCAUUACUUGUCAGCUUUAGAGAACGUUUUAAUCAGGCUCAGCAUGACAGGUUUUAGCUUAACUUGCAAAGCUUCAGGACUUCUAAAAAGCAGGCAUCACUCUGAUACCCAAUGUGGUCAUAAAAUACAACUGCGUAUUCAGGGUUUUCAUUAUGCUUGAAUUCACUCAUGAAACUUGCAACACCCAAAAUUUGAUUUCAAGGUCAUGACCUCAAAACAUAGAGGAACAUAGUAUUUGAUGCAGAAAUUAUGGAGACAUUAGGUGUAGACAAGGAUUGGAUGAAUAGUGUAAAGGAUCCUGGGUUUCUCUGAAGAAGCUAACAAGGGUGAAUACGGUUUAACUUGAAAAAUGGAAAGGCACAGGCACAAAGGAGAAUAAGAAGACGCAUUUGUAGUUUGGAACCUUCGGGAAAGCAGCUCAUAAUUAUAAAGAGAAGCUGACAAGCAAGUGGUCAACGAAAGGAAAAGACACAAUAGUAACCAAGUGUUGAGGGAGCAAGGUGGUUUCCCUAGAGAGAGAAAGGUGGUUUUCCUAGCGGUUUUCCAGGAUCUGCACUUUCCUAGAGGAAGUGACAUCUAAGUUGAGCCAAAGGAUGAAUAACAGCCAGGAAAAGGGGAAUUGUAUGUGAUGAAGAGAGUUGACAUCGUUCUAGAUAAUGAUCUGGGUAGAUCACAUAUGUAAACAUUCCUUGAGCUAGAAACUUAAGAUUUGUGCAUUUUACUUACAUAUACCUCAAUAAAAUAGAAAUUAAAUAUUAAAAAUAGGAGAAUCAGUGGUGCCUGGGUGGUUCAGUUGGCUUAGCGUCUGACUCUUGAUCCUGGCUCAGGUCACGAUCUCACAGUUCAUGAAUUUGAGCCCUGUGUCAGGCUCCAAGUGUGGAGCCUGCUUGGGAUUCUUUCUCUCUCUCUCUCUCUCUCUCCCUCUCUCAAAAUAAAUAAAUAACCUUUAAAAAAUAGGGGAAUCAAGUCUGCUGAUAGGAGGAAAGCAUCUUCUUUCCCUGGCUAGUGCAAGAGCCUUUUUUAAAAAAAACAUGUGAACUAUUUCCUGCAUAUGGAAGAGUUUAGAAAAUAAUGUAAUAAAACCUGGUAGCUACCACCUAAGUUUGUCAUAUCAAAUCUUAAUAUUUUGUCCUAUCUCCUUGAGAUCUUUCUCUUUCCAGGAAAUGGAUCUCCUUUGUACUCCUCUGCAAUCCUAUUUCCCACUUUUCCUCCUGGAUAGAGGUAACCACUAUCCAGAAUUCUGUGUUUAUCAUUUCUUUCCAUGUUUUUAUAUUUUAAUUAGACACAUAAAUACAAAUAAUUAUAUAUAUAAUACACACA
This is a long non-coding RNA of Acinonyx jubatus (cheetah), 4052 nucleotides long. RefSeq lists it as uncharacterized. The record is from RefSeq and is a predicted model, not a curated record. NCBI's taxonomy places the organism in Eukaryota, Metazoa, Chordata, Mammalia, Carnivora, Felidae. The transcript has 3 exons.